AGACCAUGAGGAUUUAGAAAAGAGCAGGAGAGUUGAAGAAAGAGAACAAGAAAAAGAAGAAAAAAACCCAAGUAGAGAAGAAUUGGAAGAAAGAAGAGGAAAAAGCCUUCUAAUGAAACUGUUGCGGCUGCCAGGAACGGGGUGUUUCCAGCAGUGUUUACACCAGAACUACUGGGAGAGAACAAGACUGUCCUGCUGGCUAGCUGAAGCCUGCAAGAAUGGAUUGGGCUUGCUUCCACCAAGAGAAGAUUGGCUGAAAAGAGGCCAGGACACGGCGGCACGGAGGGCCGGCCCAGUGGGUUAACGCCCAGGCCUGAAGCACACCCUGGCCUGAAGCACCAGCAUCCCAUAUGGACGCUGGUUCGAGACCCGGCUGCUCUCCACUUCCAAUCCAGCUCUCUGAUGUGGCCUGGGAAAGCAGUGGAGGAUGGCCCAAGUCCUUGGGCCCCUGCACCCACGUGGGAGACCUGGAAGAAGCUCCUGGCUUCGCAUCAGCAUAGCUCUGGCUGUUGCGGCCAAUUGGGGAGUGAACCAUCGGAUGGAAGACCUCUCUCUCUCUCUCUCUCUCUCUGCCUCUCCUUUCUCUGUGUAACUCUGACUUUCAAAUAAAUAAAUAAAUAGUUAAAUUCCUCUAUUUGCUCAGCUGCCUUUGGGUCAUUCACAACCAUGCAGUACAGUACAGGACCCCCAAAUAGCUAUGUGUUCUGUGCAGCUCUCCAAGUCCACAAUGACCAUUAGCCUAAAUGGGUAGCAAAAUCCCUCAAAUCCACAGACUCCACAGUUAAUACUCGAAAUCUGUAGGACCGCCAGUCUCCUAUUCAUCAGCUGGUCAUCAGCUACAUAGUUAGUAACUAAGUAAGCAGCUCAGGACCCACAGUCAGAACCCAAGAUGAUGGCAAAGCAAAUGAACACAGAGAUCU
Molecule: long non-coding RNA, 920 nt
Organism: Oryctolagus cuniculus (rabbit)
Lineage: Eukaryota; Metazoa; Chordata; Mammalia; Lagomorpha; Leporidae
Source: RefSeq, a predicted model, not a curated record